GUCCACACGGUAAACGAUGGAUACUCGCUGUUGGCGAUAUACAGUCAGCGGCUUAGCGAAGCGUUAAGUAUCCCACCUGGGAGUACGCCGGCAACGGUGAAACUCAAAGGAAUUGACGGGGCCCGCACAAGCGGAGGAACAUGUGGUUUAAUUCGAUGAUACGCGAGGAACCUUACCCGGGCUUAAAUUGCAAAGGAAUGAUCUGGAAACAGGUCAGUCUUCGGACCUUUGUGAAGGUGCUGCAUGGUUGUCGU
Molecule: ribosomal RNA, 254 nt
Filed under: uncultured bacterium
Lineage: Bacteria
Description: partial 16S ribosomal RNA
Rfam family: Bacterial small subunit ribosomal RNA
Source: RNAcentral